AUGUGCAGGUCGGACAUGAGGCAAUAAAAGCUUGGCCCACCAACCACAUGGCUCCUACCGCCCUGUCAACGUAGAGCCGUGCUGUUUGAAGUCAUCACAGAUAUAAACUACACGUUGCAGCAACUCUCAAUCGCAUUCCUGCCCGUCAUGUCGAACAGCGUAGCGCUAAUUUCAGUUUGAGGUCUGCACUCUUACUACAAUGCAGAUGGUGACAGCAUCAGGCUGCACUCGGUUACCGUCGUGAAUCAUGGACCAAGACUGCACUCUUAGGCCCACUCCUUUUUGGUG
Ixodes scapularis (black-legged tick) is the source of this 288-nucleotide long non-coding RNA. RefSeq lists it as uncharacterized. The transcript is spliced from 3 exons. Lineage: Eukaryota; Metazoa; Arthropoda; Arachnida; Ixodida; Ixodidae. The record is from RefSeq and is a predicted model, not a curated record.